Non-coding RNA from Paramuricea clavata, 828 nucleotides. NCBI's taxonomy places the organism in Eukaryota, Metazoa, Cnidaria, Anthozoa, Malacalcyonacea, Plexauridae. The record is from the annotation of a GenBank genome assembly.
GUGUAACAUGGCAGUGUUAUACCAUGUUAUUUAAUAUAUUCAAUACUAUAUAUUCAGUAUACUGUUAUAAUUAUAAGAGGAAGACCUUAGGCAACCUUCCUCGCAUGAAUAAGCAAAUAUUUAGAGAGAUUAAAGAACCACGGGAAACGCCUAGUACCACAAACCACGCAAACAGGACAUAGUUUUGUGGUUGAUAAACACUGCUGGAACUUGCUUUGACAAACAUAUUGCGUAGAGGAAAUUAGUCAUAGUUACAGAUUUCUUCCUCUAAAAUUUAUUAUAAAAGCUGAGCACAACCUGAGAGGAGAGAGCGGAGAGUGAAGUGAGAAGAGCCAUUUAGGCUAAAAUACUUCAUAAGCCAACAAAGGCUGAAGUAUAUAAUUAAAAGGCUAGAUAAUUAAGCCUCGUCAAGUAAACUGAAGAACAUUGGAAUAUUGUGGAAUAAUUAUUAUUAAAGAAGACGGAAUACAAAGUAUAAAGAAUAAAGAUUCAAAGUUGUGCUCAGCUCAAACAAAUAGAGAGAUAAGUUGAUAUAUUAAGAUUACUAUAUUAUUAUAACAUUAUAGAGACGCUAAUUCAUAUUGUUGAAAGUAAAUAAAAUAUAUAAAAGGUAUAAGGUUUCAUGCUAUUUGUGUUACGGUAGCGUUAAUAUAAUUUGAACCCGAAGCCUAAAGGUUAAAAAUAUACCUAAUUGGAAAAUAUAUUUGACGCAUAAAUAACGCACCAUAACAUAUGUUAAAGUAUACAUAAUCCUUGACUUAAAAACACGAUGAUCUACUCGAGGAAAAUUGGGCAAAGGGGCGAUCUUUGCAGAGAAACUUGACCGUU